RNAcentral lists this unclassified non-coding RNA (385 nucleotides) under fungal sp. Its description in RNAcentral is "partial internal transcribed spacer region". The stretch from base 1 to 46 matches the Rfam family "Eukaryotic small subunit ribosomal RNA", at positions 1786 to 1831 of the family's 1831-position model. Lineage: Eukaryota; Fungi. The record is from RNAcentral.
AAGUCGUAACAAGGUUUCCGUAGGUGAACCUGCGGAAGGAUCAUUAACACGUUAUCCACGUAUCACCAUCGAGAACCGUUAAUUUCUACCUCUGGUCAGAAUGAGCAGCAGCAAGAUAGAGUGAUUGGGAGGGUCUGCCUCACGGCGCCAGGCUCUAUUUGCUAUUCGACGUCGCAAGGCUUCGUACUGUUGUAUUUGAUUCGGGAGGCAUCUUCUGGCGCGCAACUCUCCUUCCAUGAGGUGAGCGCUGGGAAACUUAUCUAACAAUUCUAACCCCUUUUUGCUAGUUGACUUUUAUAUGUUGUACUUUGUUUCGGCAAGGUGCACACGUUUAAUUAUUUGAACGUUAAAAAUACAACUCUUAGCAAUGGAUAUCUAGGUUCUC